This 253-nucleotide ribosomal RNA is filed under the name uncultured bacterium. Its description in RNAcentral is "partial 16S ribosomal RNA". It matches the Rfam family "Bacterial small subunit ribosomal RNA", at positions 524 to 776 of the family's 1533-position model. The record is from RNAcentral.
UACGUAGGGUGCGAGCGUUGUCCGGAAUUAUUGGGCGUAAAGAGCUCGUAGGCGGUUUGUUGCGUCUAUCGUGAAAACCCGUGGCUUAACUGCGGGCUUGCGGUCGAUACGGGCGGGCUGGAGUUCGGUAGGGGAGACUGGAAUUCCUGGUGUAGCGGUGAAAUGCGCAGAUAUCAGGAGGAACACCGGUGGCGAAGGCGGGUCUCUGGGCCGAUACUGACGCUGAGGAGCGAAAGCGUGGGGAGCGAACAGG